Long non-coding RNA from Oncorhynchus tshawytscha (Chinook salmon), 353 nucleotides. Lineage: Eukaryota; Metazoa; Chordata; Actinopteri; Salmoniformes; Salmonidae. The record is from Ensembl.
GUCAGAGAGAAGUGAGAGAGUGAGAGAGGGAGGUCAGACAGAAGUGAGAGAGGGAGGUCAGACAGAAGUGAGAGAGGGAGAGAGGGAGGUCAGACAGAAGUGAAAGAGGGAGGUCAGACAGAAGUGAGAGAAUGAGAGAGGGAGGUCAGACAGAAGUGAGAGAAUGAGAGAGGGAGGUCAGACAGAAGUGAGAGAGGGAGGUCAGAGAAGAGAGAGGGAGGUCAGAGAGAAGUGGGAGAAUAAGAGACAGAGGUCAGACAGAAGUGAGAGAAUGAGAGAGGGAGGUCAGAGAGAAGUGAGAGAAUAAGAGAGGGAGGUCAGAGAGAAGUGAGAGAAUAAGAGAGGGAUGUCAG